RNAcentral lists this ribosomal RNA (423 nucleotides) under uncultured bacterium. RNAcentral's name for it is "bacterial SSU rRNA". It matches the Rfam family "Bacterial small subunit ribosomal RNA", at positions 358 to 773 of the family's 1533-position model. The record is from RNAcentral.
GGAAUAUUGGACAAUGGGGGCAACCCUGAUCCAGCAAUACCGCGUGUGUGAAGAAGGCCUGCGGGUUGUAAAGCACUUUCAGUUACGAGGAUGGUAUGUUAGUUAAUAGCUGACAGAUUAGACGUUAGUAACAGAAGAAGCACCGGCUAACUCUGUGCCAGCAGCCGCGGUAAUACAGAGGGUGCAAGCGUUAAUCGGAAUUACUGGGCGUAAAGGGUGCGUAGGUGGUUUAACAAGUCAGGCGUGAAAGCCCUGGGCUCAACCUAGGAAUUGCGUUUGAAACUGUUAGGCUAGAGUAUAGUAGAGGGAAGUGGAAUUUCCGGUGUAGCGGUGAAAUGCGUAGAUAUCGGAAGGAACAUCAGUGGCGAAGGCGACUUUCUGGACUAAUACUGACACUGAGGCACGAAAGCGUGGGGAGCAAAC